GAACGCCGUAUGCGGUGAAAGUCGCACGUACUGGUGUGGACAGGGGGAAAAGGGAGCGAUAACUUCAAACCCUUACCUAUCUGUAU
Non-coding RNA from Bacillus sp. 1NLA3E, 86 nucleotides. NCBI's taxonomy places the organism in Bacteria, Bacillati, Bacillota, Bacilli, Caryophanales, Bacillaceae. The record is from Rfam.